GGCUUGAAAUGGCAAACUUAUUGAAAACUAGGGACGCAGCACCACAGGUCUAAGGCGAUGGAGCUAUGACGGCUGGGUUACCAAA
This 85-nucleotide non-coding RNA is filed under the name Paenibacillus xerothermodurans. Its description in RNAcentral is "Bacillus xerothermodurans c-di-GMP sequence". It matches the Rfam family "c-di-GMP-I riboswitch aptamer". Rfam says of the family: GEMM was predicted in a large-scale screen for bacterial structured RNA regulatory elements. Genes associated with GEMM are involved in a diverse array of functions, including chemotaxis regulation, signal transduction, secretion and chitin. Lineage: Bacteria; Bacillati; Bacillota; Bacilli; Caryophanales; Paenibacillaceae. The record is from Rfam by way of RNAcentral.